AGCGAGCGGCGUCGCCUCGAACCGCUCAGCCUCUCGUCACGUUAAGCCUCCAUUUGGGUUGUCUGCUCGGUGGCGUCGAGGCACGAGCUGCAGAUUGUGAACUCAAAAUGGUGCUCCGCGGGCGUCCGGCCGGAGCCUCCGCCUGGAAGGAGCCGCGAGCCGGGGGCGCCGGGCUGGUCCCCCCGCAUUGUGUUCCCGAGGGGCCCGGCCGCGGUCGGCGUCGUGGUCAGGCCGGGAGGGCCACCGGGUGCGCGCCGCUGCGAGCCCGAGCGGAGCGGAGCCGCCGAGGGAUGGUUGCGCGCGACUGACUCCCUCGCGGUUAGAAUUAACGACGAGGGGAGCGGAGACCCUGGGAACGUGGCUGGAGCGAUCUCAGCACACGGUGACGGUCAGUUGGAAACGUGCAGGGGUGCUGACAGGUGCUUUCAGAGAAUGAAGAAGCUGUUGCAGGGAUGGAGAGCUGUUUGUUAAGAAUGCAUUCUUUCCCUGUAGCCCUCCAAAGGCUAUAGAGCUGUGUGCAGAGCUAGACAAUCUGGGCACCCAGCCAUAAAACAUCACUGCUGAAGCACAGAUAGUUGUUCGCACCCUCCUGAGCCCUCCUGGCUGCAACCACAGCAGAAGGAAUGGCCUUGGGAAAGCAGAGCUCACUGCUGUUUUGAACUCUUAAUAUUCCAUGUGGCUCUUUGAGUUCCAGCUGUGCAAUGGGACUUUGGUUUUCUAAGAUAGAGUAAUGAGUAAGAAUGGGUAAGGAUAUAGCUUCUAAAAUAUGUCUCUUCCAGGCCAAUGUACAUAAAUAUUUGCUCUAGGAAGUAGGAGUAGUGAGUUGUCUGUCCUGUGGUCUCCCUUUCCUUAUUUGCCUCUUUGUCACAGCACUCCUCUCCUGUUGGAGAGCAACCUGCCUGAAGACGCACAAGAUCACUGGGCCACUGGGUCACAGCACCCAGGACCCAAAGACUCAUCUGGAACCUGUCUUCCAGAGAUCCAGCUGUAGUGGCUCAGUUCCCGCUUCACUUCCUUAUUAAAAAAAUUUUUGUGCAGAAGUA
Canis lupus familiaris (dog) is the source of this 1043-nucleotide long non-coding RNA. RefSeq lists it as uncharacterized. The transcript is spliced from 2 exons. The record is from RefSeq and is a predicted model, not a curated record. Lineage: Eukaryota; Metazoa; Chordata; Mammalia; Carnivora; Canidae.